Molecule: long non-coding RNA, 440 nt
Filed under: Pan troglodytes (chimpanzee)
Lineage: Eukaryota; Metazoa; Chordata; Mammalia; Primates; Hominidae
Description: long non-coding RNA NONPTRT001629
Source: RNAcentral
CCAACACUUAGUUUGUCUUACAGGAAAGCUUGACAGAGACUUGUGGGAGCUUGAUCAAGCUCCUUGCUUUUAGAUAAGCAAGGAUUUUGAUUUGGAGUGCAGUGGCGAGAUCUCGGCUCACUGCAACCUCCGCUUCCUGUGUUCAAACGGUUCUCCUUCCACAGCCUCCCGAGUGGCUGGAAUUACAGGCGUGCGCUGCCACACCCAGCUAAUUUUUGUAUUUUUAAUAGAGAUGGGGUUUCACCGUGUUGGCCAGGCUGGUCUCGAACUCCUGACCUCAACUGACCUGCCUGUCUCGGUCUCCCAAAGUACCGGGAUUACAGGCGCAAGCCACUGUACCCGGCCUGCAGCCACACUUUUAAACCGUGUCUCCCUCUGUUCUCUGACAGACAUUAGCCAGACUGAGUCAUCCCCUUGAACUUGUCCUAAGCUUGUAUUUG